GGGGGUAUAGCUCAACUGGGAGAGCGUCAGACUCGCAGCCUGAAGGUCGAGGGUUCGAUCCCCUCUAUCUCCA
Molecule: transfer RNA, 73 nt
Filed under: Aminicella lysinilytica
Lineage: Bacteria; Bacillati; Bacillota; Clostridia; Peptostreptococcales; Anaerovoracaceae
Description: Eubacteriaceae bacterium WN037 tRNA
Rfam family: tRNA
About the family: Transfer RNA (tRNA) molecules are approximately 80 nucleotides in length. Their secondary structure includes four short double-helical elements and three loops (D, anti-codon, and T loops).
Source: Rfam by way of RNAcentral